Long non-coding RNA from Clupea harengus (Atlantic herring), 3940 nucleotides. The record is from Ensembl. Lineage: Eukaryota; Metazoa; Chordata; Actinopteri; Clupeiformes; Clupeidae.
GCUGGGUAUGCCAAACAAUAAUCCCAUCAUUGAACCACCACAAAGGGUACAAUUAAUGAGAAGUGGAAAAAGCCAAUUUGGGGGUUAAAGCACCCACACCCCUUCUUUGAAAAAAUUGGUGCAAGCUAGCAUGUUACAUGACCUACAUGACCAUUACCUCUGUAAUGUUGAUGCUGUUGGACAGGAUGGUAUUUACUAUCUGCGCUGCGGAAGUGAUGUUUGAGGCCGUCAGCUGCUCUGGUCUUGAAGUAAGGAUCUGUGUACUGCUUGCUAGCUGCUGUGCUUCCACUGCCCCAAGUGAAACCGUGACCUGAUCGGAGGACAUGGAAAGACAUAAAAUACAUAGAUUUGGAGGAAAACACACAAACAGAAAGGUUGCAGAUCUUCAAACUACUAACAAUUACCUCAGUUACUCACAUUGGCUUGAAUAUUCUCAAGGGUUAAUUCACAUUCAAUUUUUUCAAUGGAGUCAAAUUUUGGGUUUCCAUUGUUGUACGAGCACCUGGCUGAGGCUCUGGAAAUACCAGCUAUAUGGAGUGGAAGGAGAGGAAGGGAGGGGACAAAUCUAAAUGUUUGAUUUGCCCAAAUGGCAUGAAAUAACUCAACAUGUUAUCAAUCCUUGUCAAGAGGUUUAAAUACCGUUGGUUGUACGAGGUGGACACAUCUGUGAAGAGUAAGCGAACCAGCCAACUACAGUUUGUGGGAACUCGAAAUCUUCCAGUUGAGUCUUAUUACAGAAGUUAGCUAAAAUAAUGAAAAUAUAGACAAUAGUUUAGGACCAUAGCAAUAAUCUGUACAUACUAUGCAGCAGAUUCAGUACAUUAGUGAAAUGAAUCAAACUGUAUAAUACUUGUGCAUGACCAGUGACAUCGAACAUGUCGAUAAUAAUCUCAAACCCCAACUGAACAUUACAUAUUGGACAUAAUUGUAAAUCCAAAAUCAGCCCGUCAAAGAGGGAAAUGUACUGCUAUCUCCCACAUUAUACAAUGGAAUGAUGAGGAAAUGAUUCGCACCAAUAGAGCAGGUGUCACCACUCCACUCAUCUGGACAGAUGCAGACUCCAUCUUGCACCAUGCCACCGUUGAAGCAUUUUAGUGGGACUUGAGGGGUUGUGGUAAUGGUAGGGGGAAGUAAAGUGGUAUAGGGAGUAGUUGAUGGAGGAGUUGUAGUAUAAUUGACAGUAGCUUCAGGAGUAACUACAUUACUUGAUGUUGUGGCAGGAGUAGAGAGAGCUGUAGUCAUAGUAAGCGUACUUGAUUGAGGGGUUGUGGUAUUGGUAGGGGGAAGUAGAGUGGUAUUGGGAGUAGUUGAUGGAGGAGUUGUAGUAUAAUUGACAGUAGCUUCAGUAGUAACUGCAGUAAUUGAUGUUGUGGCAGGAGAGGAGAGAGCUGUAGUCAUAGUAAGCGUACUUGAUUGAGGGGUUGAGGUAUUGGUAGGGGGAAGUAGAGUGGUAUUGGGAGUAGUUGAUGGAGGAGUUGUAGUAUAAUUGACAGUAGCUUCAGGAGUAACUGCAGUACUUGAUGUUGUCGCAGGAGUAGAGAGAGCUGUAGUCAUAGUAAGCGUACUUGAUUGAGGGGUUGAGGUAUUGGUAGGGGGAAGUAGAGUGGUAUUGGGAGUAGUUGAUGGAGGAGUUGUAGUAUAAUUGACAGUAGCUUCAGGAGUAACUGCAGUACUUGAUGUUGUGGCAGGAGUAGAGAGAGCUGUAGUCCUAGUAAGCGUACUUGAUUGAGGGGUUGUGGUAUUGGUAGGGGGAAGUAGAGUGGUAUUGGGAGUAGUUGAUGGAGGAGUUGUAGUAUAAUUGACAGUAGCUUCAGGAGUAACUGCAGUACUUGAUGUUGUCGCAGGAGUAGAGAGAGCUGUAGUCAUAGUAAGCGUACUUGAUUGAGGGGUUGAGGUAUUGGUAGGGGGAAGUAGAGUGGUAUUGGGAGUAGUUGAUGGAGGAGUUGUAGUAUAAUUGACAGUAGCUUCAGGAGUAACUGCAGUACUUGAUGUUGUGGCGGGAGUAGAGAGAGCUGUAGUCAUAGUAAGCGUACUUGAUUGAGGGGUUGUGGUAUUGGUAGGGGGAAGUAGAGUGGUAUUGGGAGUAGUUGAUGGAGGAGUUGUAGUAUAAUUGACAGUAGCUUCAGGAGUAACUGCAGUACUUGAUGUUGUUGCAGGAGUAGAGAGAGCUGUAGUCAUAGUAAGCGUACUUGAUUGAGGGGUUGUGGUAUUGGUAGGGGGAAGUAGAGUGUUAUUGGGAGUAGUUGAUGGAGGAGUUGUAGUAUAAUUGACAGUAGCCUCAAUAGUAACUGCUGUACUUGAUGUUGUGUUAGGAGUAGAGAGAGCUGUAGUCCUAGUAAGCGUACUUGAUUGAGGGGUUGUGGUAUUGGUAGGGGGAAAUAGAGUGGUAUUGGGAGAAGUUGAUGGAGGAGUUGUAUUAUAGGAGACAGUAGCUUCAGUAGUAACUGCAGUACUUGAUCUUGUGGCAGGAGAGGAGGGAGCUGUAGUCAUAGUAAGCGUACUUGAUUGAGGGGUUGUGGUAUUGGUAGGGGGAAGUAGAGUGUUAUUGGGAGUAGUUGUGGCAAGAGUGAAGAUAGCUGUGGGAGAAACAGGAGUGCUGGAUGGAGAAGUUGGGUUAGGAUGGGAGAUGUUGAUGGUUGUUGCUGAUGGUUGAGUCCCAGUAGACUGUGGACUGUGAGAUACAGCAGGUGUCACACCGGAGAGAGUAGUAUCAGCUUGGCCAACAGUGCUAGAAUAAUUAAAGGGAAAAAGGAGAAUUGUUGUGCUGUAGUCUGGAUUUGUGGUUGGGAGAGUUUGGGCUGUAUUGAAUAGUGCUGUAAAAGAGAUACAGGCACAUUAGAAGACAGAUAAAUAAGAAAACUCCUCAUAACAUUUUAAGCUUAUUCAUGUUAUGGAAAUAAAAUAUAGUAUGAGCCUGUCUUGUCAUUCAGAAAGGUUAAUGACAGCUAUAACCUUCAGUUUCACUUUAACUUUACUCUUUGCAUGACAUUCAAAUUAGGGAGCUUAUUAUGUGGCCAAAAUGUCAAGGGGCCUAUGUGGUUUAAGAACAAGAAGCAAUAGCUAUUUUCAUGAAACACAAUGGUGGCCAAAUGAAAUGAUUCAUGAGGGUAAAUAAUUCUUAAUUUAAAGCUUAAAAUGUAUUUAAUACAAUUUAGUAUAACUUUUGUAUAUCAUUAUAUACAAUACAUUGUGGUGGAUAAAUAAAGGACACAGCUAUUGAUAAAUCUUUUAGUACAUUUUCAGAAACACCACGUAUGUCAAACAUAGACUAAAUGCUAAUAGUUAUUCAUUUGGCAAAUGCCCAUGCUGAGAUGAUUAAUCAGAUUUGCUUAAACAAAUGAAAAACCUGACAUCAUACUUUCAGCAGCUUUUGAAACCAAAUGAAAGCAACUCAAGCAAACUAAAUAAGCAAAAACAGAAAUGCUACACUGAUGAAUGACAUUGAAUAACACGGAACGCAAUCUGUAACAUGAUAUUCGCUUAUGAUAAGGUUCAAAUACUUGGUUACAUAGAAGCAUGGUAACAACAUGCAUUGCUUACCUGACAACAGCACAAGUAUCAAGGAACAACUCUGCAUUGUCCAGCUUCUUCCGUGGUGCCUCUAGCUAAACCAUAUGUAGCAUUUUAAAUAACAAUUUCCUGCAAAACUCUGUAACACUACCCACCGCUUGUGAAUGAUUAAUAAAGCUAUAAGGAAGUCCUUACUUAUCACUCACCUCAGCCCACUCAGAGUUGAAAUACAUUGCAGUCAAUAAAGUGCCAACAAUGGAACCUCAAGAUGGUAUGCAUGUAUUGUCUUUUUUCAGUAGAAUGGAUGACACUGAAUAGUAUUUCUGAUGUUUGUAGGUCAGAGACACAGUGGGUGAGUGUUUCUGUUUGUCAUAACCAAUACAAAACAGGGUGGAGGAUUUUAUGGCUGCAAUACCCAGGCAAGCGCUGC